Rhipicephalus sanguineus (brown dog tick) is the source of this 2491-nucleotide long non-coding RNA. RefSeq lists it as uncharacterized. The transcript is spliced from 6 exons. Lineage: Eukaryota; Metazoa; Arthropoda; Arachnida; Ixodida; Ixodidae. The record is from RefSeq and is a predicted model, not a curated record.
GUGCCGCCGGGUCUAGCAAAUGCAGCCGAGGCCAUCGUCAAGGAGUUUCAGCGCCGGCAACACAUCGGGGACCGCCACAAGGGUCGUCGUUACUGCGAGCUUCAACAUCGGCAUCAAACAAAAUGGCAGGUGAGCCUGCUAACGAGGCUGGCGAGGGUCACGGUCUUCUCCCACGACGGAAGUGCGUGUAAUAGCUUCAGGUUUAGCGAACACUAGGCAGGCAGGCAGGUAGCUGUUAGGGGGUUUCCGUCGUGGGAGUAAGACCUAUCCGGAAUGUCGUUGCACUCCCGGCCACCAUUUUGUGCCAGUCUCUGGUGUGGAAUGUGGUGUUCGCGGAUGCAAUACGGCACCCGGAGUUAUCGCGUCAGCCUUUAACAUUUCAGAACCAGCGUUGACUUCAAUCGGCACGUCAACGACCCAGGUUGGUUUCUUUUUUUCUUUCGCUAUCUUGUCGACCCCCUGCACUCGUCCUCGUCUGUCCAGUUUCUUCUUGGCAGCAUUAAUUUGUUUGUGCUAAGUCUAAUCAUCAAUAGAUCCUCAUAUCUAGUAAUCCAGUUAAAUCUUUAGGUGAACGUUAAAGAACCUCAGGUGGUCGAAAUUUCCGGUGCCCUCCACUGGCCUCAUACUGAUAUCGUUUUGGGACGUAAAUUCCAAGAAUUACCCAAUUAAAUCUAGUUACGUCGUCCUUUUUCCUUCUUGCACUGCGAUUGCAAAUGUCAUAUUUCCCGCUGCUGCCAACCUGUACAAGGAGCGAGACCUUCAUCAAGCGGUCCUCGCUUUUUAGUCUCGCGCCUUCCAUCAACCCUUGUAUUGAUGGGAGAUAUAUAAUAAACCGACUGACUGUCAUUAUUAUUAUUAUUAUUGACAGUCAGUCGGUUUUAUUGCAGUCCCUGUCCUUCCAGUUUGUGUCAAUGCGAUGUUAACCUUGGCCCUCAUUUAUUUUCUCGCCCAGACACACAUGGCUGCGAUAUUGGUCAGUCUCUCACCUGGUCCAAGAUCUCUGGAGCAGUGCUCAUGGUCGCAUGAUUCGGUGUUCUUCAUCUCAUCCGCUUGAGCGAAUGAGGCGAGUGAAGAACACCGCGUCCUGCGCAACGGUCAUGCGUAAUAGUGCAGGUGUCCUGCACUAUUGCGCAUGACGUCUUGCCCGACGCCGCCCUACACCGGUUCGCCUUGUCAACUUUCGCUUCUGGCAAAAGUUGAUUGGGCGUUCUUCCCCGGCUGGAGCGUGCUGUCCGCUGUGCGGUACCUCUCCUCUGCAAACUGUUGGUGUCGCCAGGGCCACGUGCUGCUAACAAGAGGCCAUGGACAAGGAUCGAGCUGCUUCCCUGGCAAGUGACAGAACAGUCAUUGUUACCAGCUUCGUCAGCGGCAUCGAAUUGGUAAGGGUGUGGUGUAAGAGUAACAGGGCUGGCGAAGGUGGCAUGCUUUCAACGACCACCGACACUUGCCAGUUUUCUUGCGCCAUUGAAUCUUGAGGUUAAUCGUGCAGGGAAUCAUGUAGGUAGACUUCGGCACAAUUGUUGCCGCGACAGCUCUUCUCCGCGAUGAAACCGAAAGGGGACCAGCUGGUGUGGCGGCGCAUAUUGCUUCGGGCUUUGUAAACCUGAAGUCGUAUGCGUCUUUAAUGGCAGGUCGUGGCCGCAGCGAAGGACAAGCAACACCACACUCACAAACACUACAGCUUUACCCUAGGCAGGUCGCGUACAAGACGUCCUGGGGAGGCUGGCGCCGGACAGUAAAGGCCAACCUAGGUGGGUAUUACGUUGCCGGUGCUUGUCAUUCGGUGGGUAGUACUCCGCCGGUGCCUGUCUUCGCAAACGUCCACCCACUAAGUCCUGCUGCGGCCACUGGCACCACACGAGUCGUGUGGCAAGGGGGGACGUUUAGCGGACACUAGGCAGGUUUUAGCUAACACUAGGCAGGUUGUAGCUUUUGGAAGUCCCCUUGGGUUUUCAUCGUGAGGAGGGCCCACUUCGGAUUCCGUUGCACUCCCGGCCACCGUUUCGUGCUGGUUAAUUCUGGUACGAAACGUGGUUUCCGCGGGUGCAAGACGGCUUUAGUUUUCUCAACUGCCUAAUUGUUCUCGCCUUAACUCAAUGCCAUAGGCUUGUAUCAGCAGCCAAGUGAGUAGUGGCCACGAUGGAUGUACAGGCGAGUUUUUCGUAUUCUAUAACUCUCAGGUCUACGCUUGUUAACAGUUCCUGUUAGUAUAUUGCAGUCGCUGUCCUUCUACGGUUUGUGUGUUCGAUUUCUACGGUCACGCUUGGCCUCCGGUUUGUCCUCAAGCCUGGUCUUCAAUGAUCCUGACCUUGGAGCAGAACGUGCAUGGAUCACCCGUGGGCCUCGCAGUUGGGAUUGUUCCCGGUGGCCAUAUUAGUAUGCUGAACGCAAGGUGGCUGCCAUGUUCCUGCGAGGGUCCAUACAAGCCCCAGAGCCAGUGUUCGAGUGCUGUCUAAUAAUUUCGAGCGCCAUCAGGAGACAGGAGUUCAAA